UUCUCAAGAACCAGUCAGGGAUUCUAAUCGUGUGCCCUUCUCGGAGUUCGAUUUUGAUCUGGUCGAUGAAAAAAGUUGGGAAACCGUUGGGAAGAACGCAGCUGUUUUUGCUAUUCAAGGACGUAGGACAAAGAUGGAGGAUAGGUUCAUCGUGCGAGAGACCACGGAUGUAGGAGUGUCUAUCUUCGCGAUUUUUGACGGGCACAGUGGAGACUUGGAGAGUUUGCUGUGAAAUACGCUGAAGAUAAACUGGUGCCUAAUAUAAUAAAUAAAAUAAAGUCCGUGCAACCGAAGCAAAAAUUCAAGAGAACACUCUCAUGGCCAUCCCCAUUCUCUCUAUCUUUUCCAUCAUCUCCUAGGAAACGAGGAAUUCUUUCAGAAUAUGUGAAAGAAGAAGGAAUUGACUACAAAAAAAUUUUGGAGGAUGUUAUCAUAGCAACAGAUGCAGCACUUUUGGAUGAAGCCAGAAAAGUGACCGAUCCGAAGUUCAAGGCAGGCGGUAGUCUAAUUUAUAGUUUCAUUUUCGUAAUACCCUUGUUUCUAUCAAUCUACCUAAUGUUUCUUUAUCAGGAAUACAUUUUAUCGAGAAG
Molecule: long non-coding RNA, 590 nt
Filed under: Bemisia tabaci
Lineage: Eukaryota; Metazoa; Arthropoda; Insecta; Hemiptera; Aleyrodidae
Description: lncRNA ENSASIAIIG012072
Source: RNAcentral